AAGUCGUAACAAGGUCUCCGUUGGUGAACCAGCGGAGGGAUCAUUACUGAGUCAUGUGCUCAAACAACCCUUCUGUGGACCUGAAUUAAACCGUUGCCUCGGCGGGCGGUCCCCUGCCAAAACCCACGUGGUUGUGGACAGAGGACCAGACAGUCCGGCACGCUUAAGGCGUCCGGCGCCAGCCGCUGGCCCUAACCAAUUAAACUCUAGUAACCUUACCUUCUGAGUUUUAAUACAAAAAAAAUAAGUCAAAACUUUCAACAACGGAUCUCUUGGCUCUG
Molecule: unclassified non-coding RNA, 281 nt
Filed under: fungal sp.
Lineage: Eukaryota; Fungi
Also listed under: 1 other name
Description: partial internal transcribed spacer region
Rfam family: Eukaryotic small subunit ribosomal RNA (bases 1-46)
Source: RNAcentral